This 504-nucleotide ribosomal RNA is filed under the name uncultured bacterium. RNAcentral's name for it is "bacterial SSU rRNA". It matches the Rfam family "Bacterial small subunit ribosomal RNA", at positions 19 to 518 of the family's 1533-position model. The record is from RNAcentral.
CUGGCUCAGGAUGAACGCUAGCGGCAGGCUUAACACAUGCAAGUCGAGGGGCAGCGCGUUGUAGCAAUACAAUGGCGGCGACCGGCGCAAGGGUGCGUAACGCGUGAGCAAUCUGCCCGUAUCAGGGGGGAUAAGCGAUGGAAACGUCGUCUAAUACCGCAUAACACCAUUGAUGGCAUCAUCGAUGGUUGAAAGCUUCGGUGGAUACGGAUGAGCUCGCGAGACAUUAGUUAGUGGCGGGUAACGCCCACCAAGACCGCGAUGUCUAGGGGAACUGAGAGGUUGGUCCCCCACACUGGAACUGAGACACGGUCCAGACUCCUACGGGAGGCAGCAGUGAGGAAUAUUGGACAAUGGCCGGAAGGCUGAUCCAGCCAUGCCGCGUGAAAAGGAUAAGGUCCUAUGGAUUGUAAACUUCUUUUGAGAGGGAGCAAUAAGGAUGUCGGGACAUCCGAUGAGAGUACCUUUCGAAUAAGCAUCGGCUAACUCCGUGCCAGCCGCCGC